Molecule: ribosomal RNA, 669 nt
Filed under: uncultured marine eukaryote
Lineage: Eukaryota
Description: SSU rRNA
Rfam family: Eukaryotic small subunit ribosomal RNA
Source: RNAcentral
UUGCGGUUAAAAAGCUCGUAGUUGGAUUUCUGUCUGGGAUGGUCGGUCCGCACUUUGUGCGUGCAUCUGAUGCGUCCUCGGCAUCCUUCUGAAGGACAUUGUACUUUAUUGUAUGAUGGAUUUCAGAACUUUUACUUUGAGGAAAUUAGAGUGUUCACAGCAAGCAAGCGCUUUGAAUACAUUAGCAUGGAAUAAUAAUAUAGGACCUUCAGUACUAUUUUGUUGGUUUCUAGAGCUGAGGUAAUGAUUAAUAGGGACAGUUGGGGGCAUUCGUAUUAACGCGUCAGAGGUGGAAUUCUUGGAUUGCGUUACGACGAACUACUGCGAAAGCAUCUGCCAAGGAUGUUUUCAUUGAUCAAGAACGAAAGUAUGGGGAUCGAAGACGAUUAGAUACCGUCGUAGUCUAUACCAUAAACUAUGCCGACUAGAGAUUGGAGGUCGUUUUUUUAUGACUCCUUCAGCACCUUAUGAGAAAUCAAAGUCUUUGGGUUCCGGGGGGAGUAUGGUCGCAAGGCUGAAACUUAAAGGAAUUGACGGAAGGGCACCACCAGGAGUGGAGCCUGCGGCUUAAUUUGACUCAACACGGGAAAACUUACCAGGUCCAGACAUAGCAAGGAUUGACAGACUGAUAGCUCUUUCUCGAUUCUAUGGGUGGUGGUGCAUGGCCCG